This 692-nucleotide long non-coding RNA is filed under the name Fukomys damarensis (Damara mole-rat). RNAcentral's name for it is "lncRNA (ENSFDAG00000022084.1)". Lineage: Eukaryota; Metazoa; Chordata; Mammalia; Rodentia; Bathyergidae. The record is from RNAcentral.
GAGACAGCAAAACAGCAAGCAAGGAUGCAGCAGUAGCAGAUGCAGCAAACACCACUCCCUUCUAUCCCUUCCAGCUUUUGCGUGGUGCCAUCCACACCCACGUGGGGCCUUCCCAAGGUGGGCCUACCCAGAACUAUGCCAAAGCAACCCGUGGACUAAUUCAUUAACCACAUAACCUUAAUCUCAGCAUCACAUAGUUUAAUCCCAGCAUCACACAGCCUAGAUCCAGUCACUUCUGAUACUCCCACCUGUGAACCCAAGAGGCUUUCAGAGACAUCUAGACACAAGGUAGCAGGUAUAUGCCUGAAUAUGAGGUACAUGUUCUGUCCUUCCUAGGCAUCAUUCUCAAAAUGCAGCAAAUUCUAAUUAUCUUCUGGAAGACAAGAGCUAAAAGGAGCAGAGAAAGAAGCUGGCUGUGUAUGGACAACCAGACAAUCUAUCCUCAGCCUCAACCAGAGGUACGACCCAAGAGGAAUGUACCACAGGAGUGGGGAAAAAUGCAGUCAGCUGGACGGAGGCAGGAGACCCCAGCCAGCUCUCCACAAGCAACAAUUCUUCUACCCAGAAAACACGAUAACUGCAGGAAGAGAUUCUGGUGUAGUUAAAAAGCCACCACAGUAAAGUAGAAGAAGCAAAAUCUGAAGCAUAACUUAGCUAGCAAAACAGAAACAAGGUCUACAUUUCACUUGCAU